GUUGGGCAUAGUGGUGCAUGUCUGUAAUCCCAGAGGCUAGGGAGGCUGAGGCAGGAGGAUUGUGAGUUCAAAGCCAGCCUUAGCAACUUAACGAGGCCCUAAGCAACUUGAUGAGACCUUGUCUCUA
This 127-nucleotide small RNA is filed under the name Marmota monax (woodchuck). The record is from RNAcentral. Lineage: Eukaryota; Metazoa; Chordata; Mammalia; Rodentia; Sciuridae.